GAUGAACGCUGGCGGCGUGCCUAAUACAUGCAAGUCGAGCGAACGGACGAGAAGCUUGCUUCUCUGAUGUUAGCGGCGGACGGGUGAGUAACACGUGGAUAACCUACCUAUAAGACUGGGAUAACUUCGGGAAACCGGAGCUAAUACCGGAUAAUAUUUUGAACCGCAUGGUUCAAAAGUAAAAGACGGUCUUGCUGUCACUUAUAGAUGGAUCCGCGCUGCAUUAGCUAGUUGGUAAGGUAACGGCUUACCAAGGCAACGAUGCAUAGCCGACCUGAGAGGGUGAUCGGCCACACUGGAACUGAGACACGGUCCAGACUCCUACGGGAGGCAGCAGUAGGGAAUCUUCCGCAAUGGGCGAAAGCCUGACGGAGCAACGCCGCGUGAGUGAUGAAGGUCUUCGGAUCGUAAAACUCUGUUAUUAGGGAAGAACAUAUGUGUAAGUAACUGUGCAUAUCUUGACGGUACCUAAUCAGAAAGCCACGGCUAACUACGUG
Molecule: ribosomal RNA, 497 nt
Filed under: uncultured bacterium
Lineage: Bacteria
Description: partial 16S ribosomal RNA
Rfam family: Bacterial small subunit ribosomal RNA
Source: RNAcentral